ACCAAGCCAAAAAGAAGGACGUUUAAGCAGCCCUGCUGUGAUUUUAACUUUCAAUCUGUCAAGUGUAAAAAACAUCAAACUUAGCAACUUCAUGCAAAACGAGUCAUUUCCCAGUGUUUGGUGAGUUUCUCUAGGUUUUUCCCAUCCGUGUGCCCCGCCCAUCCGUGUGUCUGUGUGCCAC
This is a long non-coding RNA of Perognathus longimembris pacificus (Pacific pocket mouse), 181 nucleotides long. RefSeq lists it as uncharacterized. The record is from RefSeq and is a predicted model, not a curated record. The transcript is spliced from 3 exons. Lineage: Eukaryota; Metazoa; Chordata; Mammalia; Rodentia; Heteromyidae.